RNAcentral lists this ribosomal RNA (447 nucleotides) under uncultured bacterium. RNAcentral's name for it is "bacterial SSU rRNA". It matches the Rfam family "Bacterial small subunit ribosomal RNA", at positions 331 to 794 of the family's 1533-position model. The record is from RNAcentral.
CCAGACUCCUACGGGAGGCAGCAGUGGGGAAUAUUGCGCAAUGGGGGGAACCCUGACGCAGCAACGCCGCGUGAGUGAAGAAGGCCUUCGGGUUGUAAAGCUCUUUCAUCAGGGACGAAGAAUGACGGUACCUGAAGAAUAAGCUCCGGCUAACUACGUGCCAGCAGCCGCGGUAAUACGUAUGGUGCAAGCGUUAUCCGGAUUUACUGGGCGUAAAGGGAGCGCAGGCGGCGCGCCAAGUCUGAUGUGAAACCCCGGGGCUCAACCCCGGGCAUGCAUUGGAAACUGGCGGGCUGGAGUGCCGGAGAGGUAAGCGGAAUUCCUAGUGUAGCGGUGAAAUGCGUAGAUAUUAGGAGGAACACCAGUGGCGAAGGCGGCUUACUGGACGGCAACUGACGCUGAGGCUCGAAAGCGUGGGGAGCAAACAGGAUUAGAUACCCGUGUAUU